CAGGUACAAAAAUAUAAGCCAAUCGGAGAUCCUUAUUUGAGGUUGCUAGGUAGAAUUUGUUUUCUCCGAGGAUAUUCUUUUUGGUUCAGGUUCAAGCUAAAAAUCAGCCAAUCACGUCUUGGAUUGCAGUCAGUGGGCGGGUCCUUCCCCUUCCACAGGUUGUUAGCUAAUCUAACGAUUUUUCUAAAAGUCUGGAGAUGUAACAGUGGAUAAAUGUUCAGCGUACAAAGAAUGUAGCCCAAAGCUACCAGUGUAUUGCAGACUUUCUUUUUUUUGUGUGGCCUUUUUAAAAUCAUAAUUAAACCAUAAAAAUGAUCGCGGUGUUAAAGUUUGGCUAAUGUGCAGCUUCGGUCCUGGAUGCCGUGAACAAAAAAAUGCUAAUACAGCAGAGGUUUAACGGUCAGUUUUCAGAACAUAUCCCUGGAGUAAUAAUGACCAAAUGGACGGUGUGGGUUUGGUUUCAUCUGAGCGUUAAUGAGAGCACAGUGAGACCUUUACAUUUUGGUUCGUGGCCAGAACGGCUGUAACCUGUGCUCAAUGCUAAGGAUUAAAAAGGCGGCCUGAUUCCUGUAAACCAGCCAAGCUUACUACUGACAUAACUAUUUGGCAGUGAUGAGAUGUGUUGACAUAUUUUUGAUACGCAGCUAGGAUGCAAAUGACACACAUGACUUCAUCCCAGACAAGGGUCGCUGUAAGGUGAUACCCCUCUCAUUUGCAGCAGCUUCUGAAUUUCACUAGACGUGAACAGCGUUCAAGCCAAAACAUGCAGCUGUGAUGUCAGAAUGAGAAGCACCUAAUGUGCAUUGCAAUGGAGUUAAACACUUAAGCAAUUACUCAAGCAACGUUUUCGAGCGAACAGAUUCCACCUGCUGACUCUGAUCUUCAAACCGUCGGCUUUGGUAUUAUAACUCAGAGCUUUGAAAGGGUUGCUACAUUUUUUAGACCUGUUAUUGCAUGUAAAGAGGAACAUUUUUGCAGCAGAGCCUUGUUUUGGCAACGCUUUAAGGACAGUUGUGCCUGAUGAGAUUAGUUCAGAAGGGGAACGUGGUAAAAGAUUGGGAUGAGAAUAAGGGGAGUGUUGUUUUGAUAGCAGCUGAAAAGAGGCAAAUAUCUGUCAAAGUUGCAUUAUAUCCUUCACUCUGAGCAGUGUAGGUAAACAGCAGGUGUGACAUAGAAAAACAGUCAUGAAAGCCAGAGUACAAGUUAUAUUCUCCCCCAUAAAGAAACCCUGAUAAUUAUGCUCCUCCAUGUAUUUCCAAAAAAGGCAUUGAGGUAUUCAGGACAGAGUGCAGAACAUAAAAUGCUUUUCAACCUGACAAUUAAAUUAAAAAAGCUGCCCAAGCAGGAAGCCUAGCAUCACACUUGAGUUGUUUGUUUUUUUUCCUCCCCCCUCAUAGUUAACAGUUCAGUUGCUUUGUCAUUAAAAAAAAUUACAUUUAAAAAUAGCUACUUCAUAAAUGUAAAGCCAUUCAGAGGAAUAAGCUCAUAAUAGGGGUUAUUAUGUGAUUGCUCAGUGUUGUAAAACUUGGACUUUUAGCUGUGAAACGGAACGACGAUGGAUCAUUUUGUGUUCCAGCUGUGGGUAGGGAGUAUUUGAGAAUAAAAUUGCACGUUCAGCAAUCAGUUCUGUUUACUGUGGUGUAAACCUAAGGGCUCUUUACAGUAUGAACCCCUUUAUGCUUGUAAAAAAAAUCAACUUGUACGACCCGAAGAAAAUGUUCUUCCCCGUUAUAAAAAAACUAAGAUGU
Molecule: long non-coding RNA, 1748 nt
Organism: Poecilia latipinna (sailfin molly)
Lineage: Eukaryota; Metazoa; Chordata; Actinopteri; Cyprinodontiformes; Poeciliidae
Exons: 4
Source: RefSeq, a predicted model, not a curated record